CACCAAUGAGCAAAGCCCAUACCGCAUAGUCAGCUAUAAAAAGCCCCGAUAAGACAAUGUAAAACAAUUCAAACGAGAAAACUAACGGCCUUAUUUAUAUAAAAAAAUGAACGAAAAACAAAUAUGUAACACAUAAACAAACGACAACCACUGAAUUACAGGCUCCUGACUUGGGACAGGCACAUACAUAAAUAAUGUGGCGGGGUUAAACAUGUUAGUGGGAUACCGACCCUCCCCCUAACCUGGAACAGUGGUAUAACAGUACAACAUAAGAACGAACUAUAAAAAUCAGUUGUAAAAGGCUUAACUCAUCAGAUGGAC
RNAcentral lists this long non-coding RNA (321 nucleotides) under Mytilus galloprovincialis (Mediterranean mussel). Lineage: Eukaryota; Metazoa; Mollusca; Bivalvia; Mytilida; Mytilidae. The record is from RNAcentral.